Acanthopagrus latus (yellowfin seabream) is the source of this 695-nucleotide long non-coding RNA. RefSeq lists it as uncharacterized. The transcript has 4 exons. The record is from RefSeq and is a predicted model, not a curated record. Lineage: Eukaryota; Metazoa; Chordata; Actinopteri; Spariformes; Sparidae.
CUCUGCCCAGCAAAACGGAACUAAUUUCUAAUUUUUGUUUUGCAUUUUUCUUCCUGACAGAGGUCUCUUGCGCACUGGGUGCAGAUGCAGAUUUUGCGCUUCAGGCAUCGUGAAUGUGAAAAGAUGCAAACUUGAGGUGAAAAUGGAUUCACCGUCAGGAGCUCAUGUCGUGGAGCGACAGAUGAGCUCCAUCAUGUGAUGGACGAGGCGCGUCGGAGCCUCAUCACAGAGAUGAUGCUCUACAACAGAAAACCCUCCACUUCUCCGCACAAAACGAGAAACUGCAAGAGGAGACGCAGAGCUCAGCCCUGGGACACUUCUCUGAGGAAGUGUCCACCCUUGAGGCUAAUGCAGCUCAACAAUAACUACAUUAAUGAGGAGUAGCAUUCAACAAUGAAGUAUAUUCCGGAGUUCUUCCGUAUCUGUGAGUACUAAAGCAGUUAAAAACAUCCCCUCUGCUAUCUGCUCAGGCCCAGGCAGCUGCCUUCCUGCCCUGCUAUGGCUCCCCCUAGCCGUGCCUCCAUAUUUCCUCGUUACUGCACACCAUAAUGCCCUGACCCUCCCUGGUCUAUCACACUAUAAAGACACCAAAAUACACAUGAAAACCUCCAUUUCUCUCCAUAAAUGUCGAGUAUACAGCCUCCAUCUGCCUCUCAGCCAACAUUGGGCUCCAUUGGAGUCAGCAGAAGACAGGA